ACACGGAUGUCGGGGGAUGCCUAACACCUUCCCUCCGCAUAAUCAAGCCCCCGGACCCAAAAUGAAUCUCGGUUUCAUAGAUCCGUCUAGCAGUGUCAAAACACUGGGUUAAUAUGCAAACCUUUUCGGUUGCGUUGGUGCAACCAGUUAAAUACACUAACUGGCGACUCUUAAAGUCCAAUCGUCGACAUUAUACAUGUCGAACCUUUUUCUCUUAUUUUUUCAAACAAAUCUCACAUUAACAUGAGAACACCAAAGAACAAGUAACGAAAAGGGACACUCUAAAAUCCCGACGUCGACAGGUG
Molecule: long non-coding RNA, 305 nt
Filed under: Panax ginseng (ginseng)
Lineage: Eukaryota; Viridiplantae; Streptophyta; Magnoliopsida; Apiales; Araliaceae
Description: long non-coding RNA (PGIN_LNC011791)
Source: RNAcentral